AGUGAACGCUGGCGGUAGGCCUAACACAUGCAAGUCGAACGGCAGCACAGUAAGAGCUUGCUCUUACGGGUGGCGAGUGGCGGACGGGUGAGGAAUACAUCGGAAUCUACUUUUUCGUGGGGGAUAACGUAGGGAAACUUACGCUAAUACCGCAUACGACCUACGGGUGAAAGCAGGGGAUCUUCGGACCUUGCGCGAUUGAAUGAGCCGAUGUCGGAUUAGCUAGUUGGCGGGGUAAAGGCCCACCAAGGCGACGAUCCGUAGCUGGUCUGAGAGGAUGAUCAGCCACACUGGAACUGAGACUCGGUCCAGACUCCUACGGGAGGCAGCAGUGGGGAAUAUUGGACAAUGGGCGCAAGCCUGAUCCAGCCAUACCGCGUGGGUGAAGAAGGCCUUCGGGUUGUAAAGCCCUUUUGUUGGGAAAGAAAAGCAGCAGGUUAAUACCCCGCUGUUCUGACAGUACCCAAAGAAUAAGCACCGGCUAACUUCGUG
RNAcentral lists this ribosomal RNA (492 nucleotides) under uncultured bacterium. Its description in RNAcentral is "partial 16S ribosomal RNA". It matches the Rfam family "Bacterial small subunit ribosomal RNA", at positions 29 to 507 of the family's 1533-position model. The record is from RNAcentral.